This is a long non-coding RNA of Ruditapes philippinarum (Manila clam), 527 nucleotides long. RefSeq lists it as uncharacterized. The transcript is spliced from 4 exons. The record is from RefSeq and is a predicted model, not a curated record. Lineage: Eukaryota; Metazoa; Mollusca; Bivalvia; Venerida; Veneridae.
AUGAUUUCUAUUUAAACAACAUAAGCUGCAAACCCUGAACAAUCAUUGGUUUUAUUUUGUAAGAAUAAGGAUUUGUUAAAUGAUGUGACACAGACUGGAAUGCUGCAACAAACAAGCUUAUGUGAACUUUAUACAGAUUUAGAAAGUGAGAAAGGACAAACCAUAGUGUUACAUUCACCUGUUGUUAACCAUGCCGAGGGAUUUGACAGAUAUAAAUCUGAUGAGUUACCACAUGAAGCAGGUUUUGACGCGUAUAUGUGCGGAGUUGUAUUUCUGAGAGUUGGACAUAUACUGACAUUCAAAGAUAAUAAGUAAGUUAACCUUUUGAGCAUGAACGGGAUUUAAAUUUAAAUGAGCCACGCCAUGACAAAACCAUCAUAGUAUGUUUGCGACCAGCAUGGAUCCAGACCAGCCAGGGCAUCCGUGCAGUCUGAUCAGGAUCCAUGCUGUUCGCUUACAAACCCUAUUACUAGUAGAGAAACUGAUAGCGAACAGCAUGGAUCCUGAUCAGACUGCGUGGAGGUGCA